CCUACGGGAGGCAGCAGUGGGGAAUAUUGGACAAUGGGCGGAAGCCUGAUCCAGCAACGCCGCGUGAGGGAUGACGGCCUUCGGGUUGUAAACCUCUUUCGGCGGGGACGCGGUACCCGCAGAAGAAGCACCGGCCAACUACGUGCCAGCAGCCGCGGUAAUACGUAGGGUGCGAGCGUUGUCCGGAAUUAUUGGGCGUAAAGGGCUCGUAGGCGGUUUGUCGCGUCGGGAGUGAAAACCAUGGGCUUAACUCAUGGCUUGCUUCCGAUACGGGCAGACUAGAGGCAUGCAGGGGAGAACGGAAUUCCUGGUGUAGCGGUGAAAUGCGCAGAUAUCAGGAGGAACACCGGUGGCGAAGGCGGUUCUCUGGGCUGCCUGACGCUGAGGAGCGAAAGUGUGGGGAGCGAACAGGAUUAGAUACCCUUGUAGUC
RNAcentral lists this ribosomal RNA (431 nucleotides) under uncultured bacterium. Its description in RNAcentral is "partial 16S ribosomal RNA". It matches the Rfam family "Bacterial small subunit ribosomal RNA", at positions 338 to 795 of the family's 1533-position model. The record is from RNAcentral.